CAAUCGAAGAGUUUGAUCAUGGCUCAGAUUGAACGUUGGCGGCAGGCUUUAUACAUGCAAGUCGAACGGUAACAGCGGAAGCUUGCUUCCGGCUGACGAGUGGCGGACGGGUGAGUAACGCGUAGGAAUCUACCCUGUAGUGGGGGAUAACCCGGGGAAACUCGGGCUAAUACCGCAUAUGUCCCUUGGGACAAAGGGGGCCUCUGACUCUUCGGAGAAAAUGCUCUCGCUAUAGGAUGAGCCUGCGUCGGAUUAGCUAGUUGGUGGGGUAAUGGCCUACCAAGGCGACGAUCCGUAGCUGGUCUGAGAGGACGACCAGCCACACUGGAACUGAGACACGGUCCAGACUUCUACGGAAGGCAGCAGUAAGGAAUUUUGGACAAUGGGCGCAAGCCUGAUCCAGCCAUGCCGCGUGUGUGAAGAAGGCCUUAGGGUUGUAAAGCACUUUCAGGGGUGAAGAAAAUCUCGGAGUGAAUACCUCCGAGCCUUGACGUUAACCCCACAAGAAGCACCGGCUAACUCCGUGCCAGCAGCCGCGGUGAUACGGAGGGUGCGAACGUUAAUCGGAAUUACUGGGCGUAAAGCGCGCGUAGGCGGUUUGUUAAGUGAGGUGUGAAAGCCCCGGGCUCAACCUGGGAACUGCAUUUCAGACUGGCAGACUAGAGUUUGGUAGAGGAAGGUGGAAUUCCCUGUGUAGCGGUGAAAUGCGUAGAUAUAGGGAAGAAUACCAGUGGCGAAGGCGGCCUUCUGGAUCAAAACUGACGCUGAGGUGCGAAAGCGUGGGGAGCAAACAGGAUUAGAUACCCUGGUAGUCCACGCCGUAAACGAUGAGAACUAGCCGUUGGGGCCCUUGAGGCCUUAGUGGCGUAGCUAACGCGAUAAGUUCUCCGCCUGGGGAGUACGGCCGCAAGGUUAAAACUCAAAUGAAUUGACGGGGGCCCGCACAAGCGGUGGAGCAUGUGGUUUAAUUCGACGCAACGCGAAGAACCUUACCUGGUCUUGACAUCCUGCGGACCAUUCAGAGAUGAAUGGGUGCCUUCGGGAGCGCAGUGACAGGUGCUGCAUGGCUGUCGUCAGCUCGUGUCGUGAGAUGUUGGGUUAAGUCCCAUAACGAGCGCAACCCCUAUCCUUAGUUGCCAGCGGAAUUAUGCCGGGUACUCUAAGGAGACUGCCGGUGACAAACCGGAGGAAGGCGGGGACGAGGUCAAGUCAUCAUGGCCCUUACGGGGUGGGCUACAAACGUGCUACAAUGGCCAGCACAAAGGGUUGUUAGCCCGCGAGGGUGCACUAAUCCCAAAAAACCGGUCGUAGUCCGGAUUGGAGUCUGCAACUCGGCUCCAUGAAGUCGGAAUCGCUAGUAAUCGCGAAUCAGAAUGUCGCGGUGAAUACGUUCUCGGGUCUUGUACACACCGCCCGUCACGUCAUGGGAGUUGGUUGCACCAGAAGUAGCUAGUCUAACCUUCGGGAGGACGGUUACCACGGUGUGAUUGACGACUGGGACGAAGUCGUAACAAGGUAGCCGUAGGGGAACCUGCGGCUGGAUCACCUCCUUA
Molecule: ribosomal RNA, 1553 nt
Filed under: Gammaproteobacteria bacterium
Lineage: Bacteria; Pseudomonadati; Pseudomonadota; Gammaproteobacteria
Description: bacterial SSU rRNA
Rfam family: Bacterial small subunit ribosomal RNA
Source: RNAcentral